GAUGCAUUCAUUGCCAUAUGGGAUCGUGA
RNAcentral lists this small RNA (29 nucleotides) under Bombyx mori (domestic silkworm). RNAcentral's name for it is "ovarian small RNA-16156". Lineage: Eukaryota; Metazoa; Arthropoda; Insecta; Lepidoptera; Bombycidae. The record is from RNAcentral.